This 497-nucleotide ribosomal RNA is filed under the name uncultured bacterium. RNAcentral's name for it is "partial 16S ribosomal RNA". It matches the Rfam family "Bacterial small subunit ribosomal RNA", at positions 28 to 507 of the family's 1533-position model. The record is from RNAcentral.
GAUGAACGCUGGCGGCGUGCCUAAUACAUGCAAGUCGAGCGAACAGACGAGGAGCUUGCUCCUCUGACGUUAGCGGCGGACGGGUGAGUAACACGUGGAUAACCUACCUAUAAGACUGGGAUAACUUCGGGAAACCGGAGCUAAUACCGGAUAAUAUAUUGAACCGCAUGGUUCAAUAGUGAAAGACGGUUUUGCUGUCACUUAUAGCUGGAUCCGCGCCGCAUUAGCUAGUUGGUAAGGUAACGGCCUACCAAGGCAACGAUGCGUAGCCGACCGGAGAGGGUGAUCGGCCACACGGGAACGGGGACGCGGUCCAGACUCCUACGAGAGGCAGCAGUAGGGAAUCUUACGCAAUGGGCGAAAACCUUACGGAGCAACGCCGAGCGAGAGACGACGGUCUUCGGAUCGUAAAAAUCUGUUAUGAGGGAAGAACAAAUGUGGAAGGAAAUAUGCCCGGCUUGACGGUACCUAGUCAGAAAGCCCCGGCUAACUACGUG